Molecule: ribosomal RNA, 253 nt
Filed under: uncultured bacterium
Lineage: Bacteria
Description: partial 16S ribosomal RNA
Rfam family: Bacterial small subunit ribosomal RNA
Source: RNAcentral
GACGAAGGUGGCGAGCGUUGUUCGGAAUCACUGGGCAUAAAGCGCACGUAGGCGGUGCCGUAAGUCGGAUGUGAAAUCCCCGGGCUCAACCUGGGAAUUGCAUUCGAUACUGGAUAGCUAGAGUUCGGCAGAGGGAAGCGGAAUUUCUGGUGUAGCGGUGAAAUGCGUAGAUAUCAGAAGGAACAUCAGUGGCGAAAGCGGCUUCCUGGACCAGAACUGACGAUCAGGCACGAAAGCGUGGGGAGCAAACAGG